GCCUGGCUGGCUCAGUAGGUAGAGCAUGCAACUCUUGAUCUUGGGAUUGUAGGUUCCAGCCCCACGUCAGGUG
Molecule: transfer RNA, 73 nt
Filed under: Canis lupus familiaris (dog)
Lineage: Eukaryota; Metazoa; Chordata; Mammalia; Carnivora; Canidae
Also listed under: 1 other name
Rfam family: tRNA
About the family: Transfer RNA (tRNA) molecules are approximately 80 nucleotides in length. Their secondary structure includes four short double-helical elements and three loops (D, anti-codon, and T loops).
Source: Rfam by way of RNAcentral